This 478-nucleotide ribosomal RNA is filed under the name uncultured bacterium. RNAcentral's name for it is "partial 16S ribosomal RNA". It matches the Rfam family "Bacterial small subunit ribosomal RNA", at positions 29 to 505 of the family's 1533-position model. The record is from RNAcentral.
AUGAACGCUGGCGGCGUGCUUAACACAUGCAAGUCGAACGAAGCAUUUAAGGCAGAUUACUUCGGUUUGAAGUCUUUUAUGACUGAGUGGCGGACGGGUGAGUAACGCGUGGGUAACCUGCCUCAUACAGGGGGAUAGCAGCUGGAAACGGCUGGUAAUACCGCAUAAGCGCACAGUACCACAUGGUACAGUGUGAAAAACUCCGGUGGUAUGAGAUGGACCCGCGUCUGAUUAGCUUGUUGGCGGGGUAACGGCCCACCAAGGCGACGAUCAGUAGCCGACCUGAGGGGGUGGCCGGCCCCAUUGGGAAAGGGAACCGGCCCAGGCCCCUACGGGAAGCAGCAGGGGGGAAAAUUGGACAAUGGGAGAAACUCCAGUGCAGGGACGCCGGGGUAAUGAAAGAAUGGGUCGCCAUGUAAAGCUCUUUCAGAAGGGAAGAUAGGAGCGGUACCUGACGAAGAAGCCCCGGCAAAAAACG